RNAcentral lists this ribosomal RNA (253 nucleotides) under uncultured bacterium. RNAcentral's name for it is "partial 16S ribosomal RNA". It matches the Rfam family "Bacterial small subunit ribosomal RNA", at positions 524 to 776 of the family's 1533-position model. The record is from RNAcentral.
UACGUAGGGUGCGAGCGUUGUCCGGAAUUAUUGGGCGUAAAGGGCUCGUAGGCGGUUUGUCGCGUCGGGAGUGAAAACCAUGAGCUUAACUCAUGGCUUGCUUUCGAUACGGGCAGACUAGAGGCAUGCUGGGGAGAACGGAAUUCCUGGUGUAGCGGUGAAAUGCGCAGAUAUCAGGAGGAACACCGGUGGCGAAGGCGGUUCUCUGGGCAUGUCCUGACGCUGAGGAGCGAAAGUGUGGGGAGCGAACAGG